This 396-nucleotide ribosomal RNA is filed under the name uncultured bacterium. Its description in RNAcentral is "partial 16S ribosomal RNA". It matches the Rfam family "Bacterial small subunit ribosomal RNA", at positions 523 to 918 of the family's 1533-position model. The record is from RNAcentral.
AUACGUAGGUGGCAAGCGUUAUCCGGAUUUACUGGGUGUAAAGGGCGCGUAGGCGGGGAUGCAAGUCAGAUGUGAAAUCUAUGGGCUUAACUCAUAAACUGCAUUUGAAACUGUAUCUCUUGAGUGCUGGAGAGGUAGACGGAAUUCCUUGUGUAGCGGUGAAAUGCGUAGAUAUAAGGAAGAACACCAGUGGCGAAGGCGGUCUACUGGACAGUAACUGACGCUGAGGCGCGAGAGCGUGGGGAGCAAACAGGAUUAGAUACCCUGGUAGUCCACGCUGUAAACGAUGAAUACUAGGUGUGGGAGGACUGACCCCUUCCGUGCCGCAGUUAACACAAUAAGUAUUCCACCUGGGGAGUACGGCCGCAAGGUUGAAACUCAAAUGAAUUGACGGGG